This 1529-nucleotide long non-coding RNA is filed under the name Heterocephalus glaber (naked mole-rat). RNAcentral's name for it is "lncRNA (ENSHGLG00000041708.1)". Lineage: Eukaryota; Metazoa; Chordata; Mammalia; Rodentia; Bathyergidae. The record is from RNAcentral.
UGCAAAUCUUCAUUUUGCUACAUUAAAGUAGUAAAGCUCAUUGAGGAGGAGCAGUACCUCCAUCUCCUGUUCAUCUGGAAGGCUGAGGAGCUCUGUGAUGAUAUCAAUUUUCCCUUUGCGGGAAGAGACGCCAUACUUAUUUUUCAUCAAGAGGAAUGGUUACCAGGCCACAGGAGUGAGGUGCUGGCCGCAAGACCUGGGAGGUAUGAGCAGAUCCGAGGCCGGGGCUCUGUUCGAAGAGCUUUGCUUGUUUCUUGUUUUCCAGACCGCAUGGCCUGUCAUUCCGAAGAGCAUUUGUGGACGUGCUCUGUUUUAAUGCCUCACCGUCUGUAAAGAAUGAGCUCAGUUCCCAGUGAAAUUUUCCAGGUUCAUAUUUCGGAAGUGUCAGGGGGUAGGAAGGAUCCUCCUGUCUUCCGUGUGUCAUCUGCCUUUAAGGGUGUAAUUUGUUUCUGAUGUAUGCAGGGAGCUCCCAGGAGAAGCGUCCCUGUGUUGCUGACCAGGCCUUCUGCACACAGGAAUCGGUAGACGUCCUCAGGAAGCGGACUUCUGGUGGGUGGCAGGAGGAGGAUAGUGUGAGAAAGGUUGUGGCAGGAGGAGAGGUGAGAAUGGUUAUUUUGGAAUUAUUAGGUAGCAAUCAGCGGUUUUGACAUUUGUCAGGAAAAUGCUUCUAUAGUACUUCCGGUGUGCCAGUCCUCUUCCGAGUGCAUUUUGAUAUAUUAACCUUUUAACUCUCAAGAAUAUUGUUAUGCACAUGUAAUAUCUGAGAACAGUGAACUCAAGUGAUUUGUCCAUGAUCUCUGGCUCAGAGUUGGUGCCCUUGCUAUUAUAGCUUCUCAAGGUUGUGGGGAAUCAAGGUCUUAAGGGCAGAGAGAAUUUCUGUCUCCAUGGGAAGGUCAGAGGAAUUUACUCCAAAGGGUUUCACCAAAUAGACUGUCCCGACCAGGUGCUACCAAGCUGAUUAUUUCAGGCUGGAUGCUUCUGCGGUGUAAUCUGCACAUCGCUCCUGAGGUGUCAGACUUUCUUUUUCCUCUCCUCAAAUCAAAAGGCUGUUAUUGUUUUGCCUGUGUCAUGGUUUCAUUCUGAUUGUUUCUAAUGUACAACUCCUCAUGCCCUGAAGCUGUUCUCCGAGGGUAAGCAGAGUCGGGUCCCAUUCCUGACACUGGCAGUGACAGAGCACACACACCGCAUCCUGUGGCGGGUGUUGCAGCCAUUAAUUCCCCAGGCAGAGUAGCCACACAACACUCAAGACAGGUUUGACACUUGCUGAUGCUAAUGAAUUUGCCAAGCAUCUAAAUCCAGGAAAAGUGCACACUUAAAAUGCUCUGGAGUCGAUUGUAACUUUUAUGAAAGAUAAUAACCGUCUGAUAUUAGAAUCAGAAGAGGUAUAUUUCUUCCUAAAUCAUUUCAUUAGAAAAAUCUUCAUAUUAAAAACAAAAAGAUUCUGAAACAGCUAAGGCCAAGUAAGAAUUGAAGGAAGAGGGGCUGGGAAUUUAGCUCAGUAGCUCCGCCACCUGCCUCGCAAGCACAAG